GGUCACCUUAAUCCAGGCUCUUGCUGCUCAACCUGGAGGGCCUCCGCAGAUUCGACUUACAGGCAUUGAUGAUCCAACAUCAGCAUAUGCUCGUGGAGGAGGACUUGAUAUAGUGGGGCAAAGACUAUCGAGGCUUGCUGAAUCAUGUAAUGUACCCUUUGAGUUCCAUGCUGCUGGAGUUUCUGCUUCUGGAAUUCAACUGGAGAAUCUUGGAAUUCGAGAUGGUGAGGCUAUUGCAGUUAAUUUUGCAUUAGCACUUCAUCACUUGCCAGAUGAAAGUGAAUCAUCGGGACAGGCUGUUGAGGUUGACUAAGAGCUUAUCUCCCAAGGUUGUAACUCUUGUUGAGCAAGAAUCAAAUACUAAUACUGCCCCGUUCCUUCCCCGUUUCAUAGAGACAUUGAACUAUUAUUUGGCUAUCUUUGAAUCAAUAGAUGUUACUCUACCAAGGGAGCACAAGGACCGGGUCAAUGUUGAGCAGCACUGUCUUGCUGGGGAGGUUGUCAACGUUAUAGCAUGCGAGGGUGCUGAGAGAGUGGAGCGUCAUGAACUUCUGGGUAAGUGGCGAUCAAGGUUUACCAUGGCUGGGUUUACACCCUAUCCAUUAAGCACUUUUGUGAAUGCUACUAUCAAAACUUUGCUGGAGACCUACUCCAAGAAGUACACUCUUGAAGAACGAGAUGGAGCUGUAUAUCUUGGCUGGAUGAACCGACCUAUGAUUGCUUCUUGUGCAUGGAGUUGAUAAACAGAUGAUAUUUGAGGGACAUGUAUGCUUCAGACAGCUUUUGAGGCAAGAUCAUUUCAUCAUGUUUGUAGUUUAAAUAGCAUAACUUGAGGCAUCAAUGGAUUAUCUAGUAAUGAUGAAUUGGUUAAUUUGCAAUAUAAAGGCUCUUUAAUCAUCUGUUUAUCAACUCCAUGCACAAG
RNAcentral lists this unclassified non-coding RNA (922 nucleotides) under Hevea brasiliensis (rubber tree). The record is from RNAcentral. Lineage: Eukaryota; Viridiplantae; Streptophyta; Magnoliopsida; Malpighiales; Euphorbiaceae.